CCUGUCUUGGUGCUUUUGUGCAGUGUGCAAACUGCACAACAGUACUUGGAGGCCCUGCGGGGGCCUUGUUUGUUUCCCUCUGCCUGGGGUAAGGCUGUGUCCUGCAUCUCAGUUCUGAGCCAAUCAAUCUUUCCUUUAGAGACCUGCUGGGGAAAAUUCUAGGUUUGAUCCAAGUGUGGCAACAGAAUCUCUGUAGGGUGGAAAUGCAAUGCAUUUGGCCAGGUCUGGUGAAGUGUUUGGUUCAGUUUGCUUUUUGAUUUAUCUUUAGCUUCCAAGACAGUCUCAUCUGUGUCGUGUUCCCUGAGAGAGACCCUCCAGAUGCUGGGAAGGCAGAAGGGCCAUUUAGAGGUAGUGGGUGCAGCUGACAGGACCCUCAAUGGGGAGGAGGCAGAGGAGGCCUUGGUGGGCCUGUGGCAGGGGGGCCUGGGGCAGGGGAGGCAGGGGCAGGCACUGCCCUCCGUGGUUGGCAGCCGGCCAGGCCCUGGGGCUGCAGGCUUAGGUCCAGAGUUCAGAGGCAGCACUACAGGUGACAUACACGUAGUUUCGCCAAAAGCCUGGGGCUUGCAUGGCUGCUCUGCGGCUCUGCUCAUCAGCUUGUGAAAGGCUUCUCACGUGGCUUGCGAGCUCUUGAUGGUCGUCUCCCAGCCUCCAGCAGGCGGGGACCGCCUGGCAGCAAGAAGAGUGUGGCCUUCCGUCAGAACCAGAAAACCGCCAAUUAGGGAGAGGCCUCCCCUUGGCUCUCUCUCCCUGCAUCUCUAAGAACCUCCAGGUGACCUUCUGGCCCAGCUGGCCCAGCUGCAUCCAUGGAGAAGAGGUGUGGGAAUCUGCAGCCUUCACGUCACACUAGAAUUCAACAUGUGCCGCUUUUCCCAGGAAAAGUCAUAUUUGGUUUCGGUUCAUAAUAUAUUGAGUUCGUGUAAUGGGAACACCCAUGCUCUUUGGUGGCCAGAGUCAGAGGCUUGGAAGUACAUUUUGAGGAGCGGCCAGAGGGAGGAGGAGGGGACCAGGGGAACCCCAUCUUUUUUUUUUUUUUCUGCUUUUUAGGGCUGCAUCUGCAGCAUUUGGAAGUUCCCAGGCCAGGGGUAGAAUUCAGGCUGCAGCUGCUGGCCUGCACCACAGCCACAGCAAUGUAGGAUCUGAGCCACGUCUGUGACCUACAUCACAGCUCAUGGCAAUGCCAGAUCCUUAACCCACUGAGCGGUGCCAGAGAUCGAACCCACAACCUCACGGAUCCUAGUCAGGUUCGUCAACUACUGAGCCAUGAAGGGAACUCCUAAGAACCCCAUCUUGACUGUAGUAACAGACACAGAAAUACUCUAGAGUGGGCUGGCUACACUUACUAGGAAAUAAGUGGCCAUAAAUCAUCAUUAGUGUGACAAAGGACAGAGGCUCAUGCCACUGUGGCUGGUAGGUCAGGAGAAGACAGAACAAUAAGGUCCUUCUCUGGGCCCAGGCCCAGAAGUGGGUCCCCUGGGAGAACAUGUGUGCCAGAAGGAAGGACUGGUCUGGGCAUUCCGGGUGGCCACCAGACAUGGAACUUACCUGUGGCGGGAGAGAGAGACGCUCCUACCUGUGGCCUGGAGGCUGGACACGCCUUCCA
Molecule: long non-coding RNA, 1600 nt
Filed under: Sus scrofa (pig)
Lineage: Eukaryota; Metazoa; Chordata; Mammalia; Artiodactyla; Suidae
Description: lncRNA (ENSSSCG00060067580.1)
Source: RNAcentral